AAUGGGGGAAACCCUGACCCAGCGACGCCGCGUGGAGGAUGACGGCCUUCGGGUUGUAAACUCCUGUCAGGUGGGAAGAAAAGCCAGUCGGAUAAUACCCGGCAGGAAUUGACGGUACCACCAAAGGAAGCCCCGGCUAACUCCGUGCCAGCAGCCGCGGUAAUACGGAGGGGGCAAGCGUUAUUCGGAUUUACUGGGCGUAAAGCGCACGUAGGUGGCAUCGUAAGUCAAAGGUGAAAGCCCUCGGCUCAACCGAGGAAUUGCCUUUGAAACUGCUUUGCUUGAGUCCGGGAGGGGGGAGCGGAAUUCCCAGUGUAGCGGUGAAAUGCGUAGAUACUGGGAGGAACACCGGUGGCGAAGGCGGCUCCCUGGACCGGUACUGACACUGAGGUCGCGAAAGCGUGGGUAGCNAACAGGAUUAAAUACCCUGGUAGUCCACGCCGUAAAACGAUGSGCACUAGGUNCAGCGGGUGUCGACCCCUGCU
Molecule: ribosomal RNA, 485 nt
Filed under: uncultured Acidobacteriota bacterium
Lineage: Bacteria; Pseudomonadati; Acidobacteriota
Description: bacterial SSU rRNA
Rfam family: Bacterial small subunit ribosomal RNA
Source: RNAcentral